UUGCUCUUCAACGAGGAAUACCUAGUAAGCGUGAGUCAUCAGCUCGCGUUGAUUACGUCCCUGCCCUUUGUACACACCGCCCGUCGCUACUACCGAUUGAAUGGCUUAGUGAGGUCUUGGGAUUGGCUUCGUGGAGCCGGCAACGGCACCGUGUCGCUGAGAACUUGAUCAAACUUGGUCAUUUAGAGGAAGUAAAAGUCGUAACAAGGUUUCCGUAGGUGAACCUGCGGAAGGAUCAUUAACGAGUUCUGACUUGGGUUGUCGCUGGUCCUCCGGGACAUGUGCACACUCAAUGCUCAUCCACUCACCCCUGUGCACACUUGUAGUUUCUCGGUUCCUAAAGGAUGUUUGAAGGCCUCGCGGCUGAAUAUAUUCCGCGGGAAUUGGGGGAUUACGUUUUUAUACACGCAUAAAGUCUAGAAUGUUAUCUUUGCUAUAAAACGCAUUAAAUACAACUUUCAACAACGGAUCUCUUGGCUCUCGCAUCGAUGAAGAACGCAGCGAAAUGCGAUAAGUAAUGUGAAUUGCAGAAUUCAGUGAAUCAUCGAAUCUUUGAACGCACCUUGCGCUCUUUGGUAUUCCGAAGAGCAUGCCUGUUUGAGUGUCAUGAAUCUCUCAACUCCUAAAGUCUGUAAUGGAUGAUAGGGGCUUGGACUUGGAGGCUUGCCGGUGUUUAUCGGCUCCUCUUAAAUGCAUUAGCUAUGGAUCACGAUGUGUUCGAUCUACGGUGUGAUACAUGUCUACGCUAUAGAUCUGCACGCGAGUUACCGCCCUUUUGGGUAGUGCUUUUCGGAGCCGUGUGACGAGUGAAUACAAAGCUUCUAAUCGUCUUCGGACAAAUUUACUUGACAUCUGACCUCAAAUCAGGUAGGACUACCCGCUGAACUUAAGCAUAUCAAUAAGCGGAGGA
RNAcentral lists this ribosomal RNA (910 nucleotides) under uncultured fungus. RNAcentral describes it as "eukaryotic LSU rRNA". The stretch from base 1 to 241 matches the Rfam family "Eukaryotic small subunit ribosomal RNA", at positions 1593 to 1831 of the family's 1831-position model. The record is from RNAcentral. Lineage: Eukaryota; Fungi.